RNAcentral lists this ribosomal RNA (531 nucleotides) under uncultured bacterium. Its description in RNAcentral is "bacterial SSU rRNA". It matches the Rfam family "Bacterial small subunit ribosomal RNA", at positions 971 to 1501 of the family's 1533-position model. The record is from RNAcentral.
UUACCUACUCUUGACAUCUAGCGAAGACUGCAGAGAUGCGGUUGUGCCUUCGGGAACGCUAAGACAGGUGCUGCAUGGCUGUCGUCAGCUCGUGUUGUGAAAUGUUGGGCUAAGUCCCGCAACGAGCGCAACCCUUAUCCUUAGUUGCCAGCACGUAAUGGUGGGAACUCUAGGGAGACUGCCGGUGAUAAACCGGAGGAAGGUGGGGACGACGUCAAGUCAUCAUGGCCCUUACGAGUAGGGCUACACACGUGCUACAAUGGUAUGUACAGAGGGAGGCAAGCUGGCGACAGUGAGCGGAUCUCUUAAAGCAUAUCGUAGUCCGGAUCGCAGUCUGCAACUCGACUGCGUGAAGUCGGAAUCGCUAGUAAUCGCAAAUCAGAAUGUUGCGGUGAAUACGUUCCCGGGCCUUGUACACACCGCCCGUCACACCAUGGGAGUGGGUUGCAAAAGAAGUAGGUAGCUUAACCUUCGGGAGGGCGCUUACCACUUUGUGAUUCAUGACUGGGGUGAAGUCGUAACAAGGUAGCC